CCCUUGCUAGCUCAGAUGGUAAAGAAUCUGCCUGCAAUGCAGGAGACCCAAGUUCAAUCCCUGGGUGGGGAA
This 72-nucleotide transfer RNA is filed under the name Bos taurus (domestic cattle). It matches the Rfam family "tRNA". Rfam says of the family: Transfer RNA (tRNA) molecules are approximately 80 nucleotides in length. Their secondary structure includes four short double-helical elements and three loops (D, anti-codon, and T loops). Lineage: Eukaryota; Metazoa; Chordata; Mammalia; Artiodactyla; Bovidae. RNAcentral also lists the same sequence under 2 other names. The record is from Rfam by way of RNAcentral.